UUGUGGUUAAAAAGCUCGUAGUUGGAUCUCAACAGCCUUGAAGCGGUUAACUUUGUAGUUUUACUGCUUUAUAGGCUGUGCUUUUGCUGGAGGUUUAGGGGUGCUCUUGAUCGAGUGUCUCUGGAUGCCAGCAGGUUUACUUUGAAAAAAUUAGAGUGCUCAAAGCAGGCUAAAAUGCCUGAAUAUUCGUGCAUGGAAUAAUAGAAUAGGAUGUCGAUCCUAUUUUGUUGGUUUUCGGGACUCGACAUAAUGAUAAAUAGGGACAGUCGGGGGCAUUUGUAUUCAAACGACAGAGGUGAAAUUCUUGGACCGUUUGAAGACAAACUACUGCGAAAGCAUUUGCCAAGAAUGUUUUCAUUAAUCAAGAACGAAAGUUAGAGGUUCGAAGGCGAUUAGAUACCGCCCUAGUUCUAACCAUAAACGAUGCCAGCUAGCGAUCUGCCUGCGUUUUUACUGUAGACUGGGCAGGAAGCUUCCGGGAAACCAAAGCAUUUGGGUUCCAGGGGAAGUAUGGUUGCAAAGCUGAAACUUAAAGGAAUUGACGGAAGGGCACCACCAGGA
This 561-nucleotide ribosomal RNA is filed under the name uncultured marine eukaryote. RNAcentral's name for it is "SSU rRNA". It matches the Rfam family "Eukaryotic small subunit ribosomal RNA", at positions 613 to 1175 of the family's 1831-position model. The record is from RNAcentral.